UACGGGGGGGGCAAGCGUUGUUCGGAAUUACUGGGCGUAAAGGGUUCGUAGGUGGCCAAUUAAGUCAGACGUGAAAUCCCUCAGCUCAACUGGGGAACUGCGUCUGAGACUGGAUGGCUUGAGUGCAGGAGAGGAACGCGGAAUUCCAGGUGUAGCGGUGAAAUGCGUAGAUAUCGGAAGGAACACCUGUGGCGAAAGCGGCUCACUGGACCAUAACUGACGCUGAGGCGCGAAAGCUAGGGGAGCAAACAGG
Molecule: ribosomal RNA, 253 nt
Filed under: uncultured bacterium
Lineage: Bacteria
Description: partial 16S ribosomal RNA
Rfam family: Bacterial small subunit ribosomal RNA
Source: RNAcentral